GGCCGGGUGGCCGAGUGGCUUAGGCAAGGGCCUGCAAAGCCCUGUACGCGGGUUCGAUUCCCGCCCCGGCCUCCC
RNAcentral lists this transfer RNA (75 nucleotides) under uncultured Frankineae bacterium. RNAcentral's name for it is "tRNA-Cys-GCA". It matches the Rfam family "tRNA". From Rfam's summary of the family: Transfer RNA (tRNA) molecules are approximately 80 nucleotides in length. Their secondary structure includes four short double-helical elements and three loops (D, anti-codon, and T loops). The record is from RNAcentral. Lineage: Bacteria; Bacillati; Actinomycetota; Actinomycetes; Frankiales.